This 495-nucleotide ribosomal RNA is filed under the name uncultured bacterium. Its description in RNAcentral is "partial 16S ribosomal RNA". It matches the Rfam family "Bacterial small subunit ribosomal RNA", at positions 28 to 507 of the family's 1533-position model. The record is from RNAcentral.
GACGAACGCUGGCGGCGUGCCUAAUACAUGCAAGUAGAACGCUGAAGGAGGAGCUUGCUUCUCUGGAUGAGUUGCGAACGGGUGAGUAACGCGUAGGUAACCUGCCUGGUAGCGGGGGAUAACUAUUGGAAACGAUAGCUAAUACCGCAUAAUAGUAGAUGUUGCAUGACAUUUGCUUAAAAGGUGCAAUUGCAUCACUACCAGAUGGCCCUGCGUUGUAUUAGCUAGUUGGUGGGGUAACGGCUCACCAAGGCGACGAUACAUAGCCGACCUGAGAGGGUGAUCGGCCACACUGGGACUGAGACAAGGCCCAGACUCCUACGGGAGGCAGCAGUAGGGAAUCUUCGGCAAUGGACGGAAGUCUGACCGAGCAACGACGCGUGAGUGAAGAAGGUUUUCGGAUCGUAAAGCUCUGUUGUAAGAGAAGAACGAGUGUGAGAGUGGAAAGUUCACACUGUGACGGUAUCUUAACAGAAAGGGACGGCUAACUACGUG